This is a long non-coding RNA of Helianthus annuus (common sunflower), 993 nucleotides long. RefSeq lists it as uncharacterized. The transcript is spliced from 5 exons. NCBI's taxonomy places the organism in Eukaryota, Viridiplantae, Streptophyta, Magnoliopsida, Asterales, Asteraceae. The record is from RefSeq and is a predicted model, not a curated record.
CACAAUUGUGAUUUGAGCGGCAAUAUAUGUAAUCCCGCUUUUCUCUUUGGUUGUAACGCUGAGAAUUCAACUUUCCAUAUUUCUUUAUAAUCAUCUUCCAAAAUAUGAUUGAGUCCCCAUGUUUUAUGAUGAUUGAUCGCAUAAGCCCUAAAUCUAUAAAUCCAUAUGUAUUCUGGGGUUUCUUCACAUCGAUUCUUAGGGCAAUCGAUUUAUCAAUCACAUCUGUUUGUUCACAUUGAUUUGGCAUUCAAUCGAUUUGUCAACCCUUAUUUAAGCAGAGUCGAUUCAAGAAGCAGUGGGAGUAAUAUUACCGCACUUCGUAUUGCAUCAUCAAUAAAUUUGCAGCCGCUACCCACUUUUUCCGUUUUUUGGUACCGUACUUUUGGUAUCGGUACCGGUUUGGUACCGAACAGGUGAUGCGCGUGUGCCCGAUAACUACGCAGAUGAGCAUUCUCAAGAGCAAGUACAACUCCUUAUUAAUACACAAGAAAAUGAACCCCAUUAUUCUAUUUUCCCUAUUUAAAUUUGAUUGCACCUGAGAAAAGGUCUUUCAUUCAUAAGCUAUCCUUUAAUAUGCUACAAAAGAAAAGAUGAAAUAGCUAAACAACUCCAGUGCGGAUCCAAACAGAACGCUAACAUGACAAGGUGAAGCCUACCCACGUGUUCAAUGCUGCCAGAGUCACCGGUCGUCUGAAUGUUGACUGAUGUGUGCCGCACAAGGUGGGUCUCUCUCUGUGUGUGAAGGGAUGCUGAAUUUAUAAGACUAUCAAAAACGCAAACAUGGAUGGUAACAGUGAAUACAUCAUCCUGGAGUAGAAACCAAUCCUUAAAGGGGGUAAUAGUUACUCAAUUUGUUUGUUUUUUUAAACUGAUUGAGUGGUUCAUUAGUGCUUAAAAUUAACAUACAUUACACACCUGUUUUGUUCUUCAAGAAUCUUGAACACUUGGGUAAUUGUGGGAAAGUUCUUAUCUUUAUCAUACUAUGCAUAAAUA